UGAGGUAGAGGAUACUGGAGUUUAUUGUACAUUUGUUGUGGCCUUGGAGGAAAGAAUUUGUGAUCGUGACUCAUUGACAAAGUAAAGCCAGGUAGUGACUUAACUGUGUAACACUAUGUCGUGGUUUGGUGGGAACUCUGACAAGAAGAUGCAGGACUGCAUGUUCCAGUUGAAGUUCUGUGGCAAACAAAUGGAAAGACUCUCCAAGAAGGCAGAGAAGGACCAGAAGAUUCAAGAAGGAAAAAUCAAGAAAGCUCUGCAACAGGGAAACGUUGAAGGUGCCAAAAUUUAUGCUGAAAAUUCAAUUAGGAAGAAGAAUGAAUCACUCUCUUACUUACGGAUGGCAUCAAAGAUAGAUGCUGUAGAGUCAAGGAUUCAGUCAGCAAUGGCUAUGAAGGGAGUCACCAAGAAUAUGGGCUCUGUGGUGAAGGCUUUGGAUCAGGCCCUCAAUGCCAUGGACUUACAAAAGGUUUCCUCAAUCAUGGAUAAGUUUGAAACACAAUUUGAGGACUUGGACGUGAGAACAUCGGUGCUGGAAGACAGCAUGGGAGCUGCCACAACACUUUCCACUCCAAAAGAGGCUGUGGAUGCCCUUAUCCAGCAGGUGGCAGAUGAGGCCGGUCUGGAGGUUAUGGAUCAAGUCAAUGCCCAGGAUGUGCCCACAGCAACACUUAGUUCUACUGCUGGUGAACGUACAGCUGACCAGGAAGAUGUGCUCACUAGACGGCUUGCAGCUCUGAGAAAUUAGUACUGGAGUGUAAUGAAUGGUUGUGUAUCAUGUAUAUAUGAAAAUGAUAUCUACUUAAACAGACUUUCAGUUUAUUGUAGAAUAUUGGUUACAUUAUAUUAUCUUUGCUGAUUUGUUAAUGAGGUUAUUAUCUUUGGAAGUGAAGAAUUAUUAAUGAUUUUGAAGAAAAUAAGGGAACCUCAUCACUGAAUGGAAUGAUAAAUCAGAGAAUGUUUUUUGUGACAUGCAGCUUCCUGGUGUUAAAUAUGUACCUUGAUGUACCUUUAUACAAAUUAAUGUAUUUCUUUGUUCUGUACAUCAUAAUUUACAUAAAUUGUAAAUCUCUUCCCGAAUAUCUGCAAUAUCUAGAUGCUGUUGGAUGUUUUGGAGGAAUUUUUCCAUCUGUUGAAAGUUAAGUCUUGAGGACAAGAAGGAUAAAUAGUAAGUGGACUUGAUGGUCGUCUGGAGAGAACAUGUGGCACGGAAAGUGAAUCAGAGUGGCUUUGAUGCUAAUCUGAGGUCAUUAGGGAGCACUGCUAAUGUUGCAUGUAGAAUUAUUGUUUUGAAAGAUGACAUUUUGAAAAAUACAAAUUGGCAGGUGCAGUAAACUCUCGCAAUUUUGGACUUAAUUUUUUUUUUACACUUAGGCCAUCAAGUAAAAGUACUGUACAGUGCUGUACUGAAAUUUGGAAAAGUUUUAAAAUAUUAAAUUCAUACAAAACUUUGGUGGCCCAUUUGUUGAAUUGUCUUAUGAGUAGCAUGUAACCAUGUACUUUACACUUCCUCUUUCAACACUUUAUGUCAUCUCUGCACAACCACAGUUUGUACGAGGUAGACUUAUUUUAGUUUAACACUUAGUGCUCUAGUAGUAGCUUCCUUUUAGUGGGAAACACUUCUGAAAAUGAUAGACUGCUGUAAGUGAAGUGAUUGUGUGCUCCUUCGGCCUGCCUACACAAAUGCAUCUAUAUUUACUCCAUUCCCUUGUGCACACUUGUUUUCUUAACACAUCCAUGUGUGUUCUCUGCUCAGCCAUAGUUUGUAUUUAUCUUUCUUUACUUUUAUUUUUGUAAAACUUUUAGUGCUCUAGCAGAAAGCAUCUCAGAAUAGACAAAAAUGAUAAAGCCAGCUUUAUGUAGAGUAGUUGUGUUAAAUUCCUUGUAAAUGCUGAUACUGCACUGUACAGUAUAUGCUUUUGCCUUGACCUCGAGUGGCAAAAGUAAGGUUUGUAUACUGCGUGCAGUAUAGGUGUUACAUUUGUUUUUGUUCUUUUUUGUUUUUUUUAAAUGCUGUAGAAAACAGGGCAUUAGAUGGUUACUUGUGCAAAGGGGUGGGUGUGAGACAAGUGUUAUCACUUAAUUAACACCAUUUUCUCUCAGGAAGUCUCUCCAGUUUCAGAAAAUUAAAAAUUUGGGAUUGAGUUUCCCCGACUAGUCCAAAAUUGCAAAGGUUUUCUAUAUUGUGUAAAAGCAGAGAAAAUGCAAGAGUUCUUUUGGCAUUUAUUAAUUGAUAAUUUUGAAGAAACUUGGUACCUGUAAUUAAGGAGAACUUAAAAGUAUUGGAGUGGAAUGCUAGGUAAUUUGGGUUGAUUUUAUAUUAAAAAAUUAUAUUUGGUGCAACAUUUGAUAAUUAAGUCAUAUAGAGAUUGUUUGAGGUCAUUUAUACAGUACAGUACAGGAUUUUGAAAAUUUUAUGGUUUGCAGAUGUACUGUAUUUAAUGAUUUUGGAAGUAAAUUUGGUGAAUAUUGACAAUAAGUAUUGUUAUUAGGGUAUGAGACAUUAUGAAUAAGCUAGAGUGUGAAUGACAUUGUUUGUCUUACGUAAGAUCUUUCCUUAUCAGUGAAUCAAAUCUUACGGACAUAGAGGAAUUUUUGCUGAUAGUGAUAAAGAUUAUGUUGGUCGUGGGAGUGGUACUGUACCUAAUUUCCACGUCUAAUAUGCAGGGUGAGAGGCAUUAGGGUCACUACUUUUGGAAAAGAGGGAAGUGUUUGCAAUAUUGGGAAAUUUUUUAACCACUAGGUACAUGCUGGGAAAUUUUAUUGUUGUUUUGAGAUGCUUUAUGUCAGGUACAGAUUCUUUAAACCUAGUCUCAUAAAAUCAGAGGUUGUUGAAAGACCCAUUUUUUCCUUAAGUUUUCUUCCUUUGCCAAGUCAAGUUUUGCAUCCACUCAACAGACCUGGUUGAAUGUUUGUUUUACAUCUUAAAUAAGAAAAUAAAGAAAACAGAAUUGUUUGUAAGUACUGUAGUGUAAAUUUAAAAGAUAUAUUCAAUAGAUGACCCAUAGAGAGCAGGUAGCAUUUGGCAUAAGUUACCUUGCCUCUUUAGUUUAAUUUCACUAAUAUUAAUUUCAAAAGCUAUGUGAAAUAAUAACAAUAUUUCAUCAAAACAAAUGAAUAUAAAAACCGAUAAACAAAGCUACUGUAUAUAUUCAUUCAGACAAUAAAUAUAAACUCUGUACUUCUAGCAGAUGUCCCCUGACUUGCUGGGAUGUAAACAAACCUUUCAACUCUAGCAACUCCCAGCUUCCAAAUAGACUACAGUAUAGUUAAUGUGUGUUUAUAAGUUAGUGUGUUUACAGUGAUGUUUUCCAUAUUUUGUUAUUUAAGAAGUAAAACCAACAUUAGACUAAGUGUGUGUGUGUGUGUGUAAACAAGUCUUGACAGUCUCCUCCUAGGCCCAGGGUACAAUGACCUAUGACCCAGGAAGCCAGCAAAUCCUCAAUACCAGUUUAGUCUUCGUCCCAUGGGUCCUGGAUAUGAGGGUUUACACCUGUAGCAUAAUGGUAGUGAAGAGCAAAUACACAAAUGGAACAUCUGGAAACAGGCUGAUACCAACCAGUCUGCCUUGAGAUAAGUACAGUAUGUAUUUCAGUUUUAAAGAUUCAUCAACAAGUAAUCCACUGUGAUGACUUACAGUACAGGAUAUUUUGGGUUAUGUUGUAGUGUGGUAAGAGUGAAGGAAGUCUUUUUAUAUUUUUUUUAACAUUAUUGUACAACUGAACUACAGUAUUCCCUUGAUGGGUUACUCACCUAGGAUCCUGAUGUAGUUAGUUCAUACAGUGAAUAUUAUCUGUAACUGGAACCAAAACAUACAUUUUAAUCAAUACGUACAUUUACAUCACUUCAUUGUUUUCUGACUAGCCAAUCACAAACCAAGAUGAGAGAUAGAGGGCGGGGCUAUUUGACAUUUCCAUAAUGAACAACGGUAAAGUUACAAUACAGUACAGUAUUUUUGCACUUUAGCUGAUGUUAAAUAUUCAUCGUAUCAGAACUUUGAGAAUCAGGUUCUUGGUGAUGUUUCUGUUGUCUUGAGGUCUGUGUUCAAUGCAUUUCUGUAUUUUAUCUUUGGUGUCCAAAUUAUUUUAUACAGAAGUAGGGUUGGUCAUGUAUCUUUUUGGAUCAAGUUUUUUAUUGUAAAGUUCCAGGUCGAUGUAACUGACAAAAUUGAUUUUAAAAUUGUUCUUUUGACUAAGAAAACUUUUAUUUGUAGAUUAGAGAAAUCUCUUUGGUGAGUGUCAGAGUUUAAAAAUGGAAGUAAUAAUUCCAGUUCAUUCUUACACUGAAUAACAUAUAGAGAACGGGCCUAUAUCUUUUCAAAGUUUGUAUGGAAAUGUGUGGCUCUUAAGAAUGAAUGAAUGAGAGGUGUUCCUGACCCUGACCACCCUGCCUUGUAGUGGAAGAGCUUGCAGAUGCAAAAAGAAUGUAUGUUAUCUGUAGAUUUAUGGUUUGAAGAGACAUCCUUUACAUAAUAGCUUGAGGUAUUGUCUUAUGAAUUUGAAGUGUACCCUUACAAUGUGGCACUGAUAUUCUUAAUCACGUUAGUAUGCAUAGUGUGAGUCUGUUAGCCUCUCCCUGCUUGUAUCACUUACCAUUGAUGCCCUUGUGAAAUUUUUUUUGCUUCAAAGAUUUUCAGAGCCUUAAUGUGAUUCACAACAGAUGUGAACACAAUGUCUGCUAUACUAUACUGUACCAUAAUUUUUGCUUUAUGAUAUUUCUGAGAAUUAUUUGUUUUGACGAUUGUGCCUUUGAUAUGUGAAUUUUGUAUCAGUCAUUUUCACUGGAAAUUUUUUAAUAACAGAUGAUAAGUAUUACUCAUGUACAAAGUGGGUUUACUUACAUAAUACUUGACUAUUUGUUAAACAUGAUUGGUCAGAUGGGUUCCAUUCCUAAUAGGCUCCAACCUAACCUAACCAUAAGGAUAGGCACCCAAUUCUAAUGGGGAACUUAAGGACUAGGGCCCAUUUUACUGUGACCAUGCAAUUAGCUGGGUAGGAAUAUUACCAAAUAGAUACUGUACCCUCAUGUAGAUUUGCUUCCAGGUAUAAUUUUCAUUUUUUUCUGUACUUUUCUAUUGCCGAGUAUCAUGAAGUUUACACCAAGAAAUGAAUAAGAUUAAGGUAUUGAUGCUUGGAAUGUAUGUGUAAUGAAUGAAAACCUUCAUAAUAGGAUUGUUUUGUCCAUGUAUUGUCCUGGUACUUAAACAAUGUGAUUUCAUAUUCUAUAGUACAGUAUAAUACAUUAUACAGAAAAUAAUAACAUUUGACUUCAUAA
Molecule: unclassified non-coding RNA, 5274 nt
Filed under: Homarus americanus (American lobster)
Lineage: Eukaryota; Metazoa; Arthropoda; Malacostraca; Decapoda; Nephropidae
Description: charged multivesicular body protein 1a-like, transcript variant X1
Source: RNAcentral